CGUUUAUUGAAAAUAAUUUUAAAUAAUUUCUGCUCAAUGAAUAAAUAAUUAAAUAGCUGCAGUAAUUUAACUGUACAAAGGUAGCAUAAUAAUUUGGUUUUUUAUUAAAAUCUUGAAUGAAUGAAUAAAUGAAAUAAAAACUGUCUCAAUUUAAUUAAAAUUAAAAAUUUUUUUUUUUGUAAAAAAACAAAAAUAAUAUUAAAAGACGAGAAGACCCUAUAGAAUUUUAUAUAAUAAAAAUAAUUAAAUAAUAAAAUUUAAUUAUAAAAUUUAUAUUUUAUUGGGGUAAUAUAAAAAAUUAAAAAUUUUUUUUUUAAAUUUUAUCAUAAAUAUAUGAAAAAUUAUUAAUUAUUAUUUAUAAAAUAAAAUAAAUUACCUUAGGGAUAACAGCGUAAUUUUUUUUGGAAAGUUCAUAUUGAUAAAAAAGAUUGCGACCUCGAUGUUGAAUUAAGAUUAAUAUUAAUUGGAAAAAAUUAAAAUAUUAAGUCUGUUCGACUUUUAAUAUCUU
RNAcentral lists this ribosomal RNA (508 nucleotides) under Spilomicrus sp. M232. RNAcentral describes it as "partial 16S ribosomal RNA". The record is from RNAcentral. Lineage: Eukaryota; Metazoa; Arthropoda; Insecta; Hymenoptera; Diapriidae.